This 468-nucleotide ribosomal RNA is filed under the name uncultured Enterobacteriaceae bacterium. RNAcentral describes it as "bacterial SSU rRNA". It matches the Rfam family "Bacterial small subunit ribosomal RNA", at positions 916 to 1381 of the family's 1533-position model. The record is from RNAcentral. Lineage: Bacteria; Pseudomonadati; Pseudomonadota; Gammaproteobacteria; Enterobacterales; Enterobacteriaceae.
ACGGGGCCCGCACAAGCGGUGGAGCAUGUGGUUUAAUUCGAUGCAACGCGAAGAACCUUUACCUGGUCUUGACAUCCACGGAAGUUUUCAGAGAUGAGAAUGUGCCUUCGGGAACCGUGAGACAGGUGCUGCAUGGCUGUCGUCAGCUCGUGUUGUGAAAUGUUGGGUUAAGUCCCGCAACGAGCGCAACCCUUAUCCUUUGUUGCCAGCGGUCCGGCCGGGAACUCAAAGGAGACUGCCAGUGAUAAACUGGAGGAAGGUGGGAUGACGUCAAGUCAUCAUGGCCCUUACGACCAGGGCUACACACGUGCUACAAUGGCGCAUACAAAGAGAAGCGACCUCGCGAGAGCAAGCGGACCUCAUAAAGUGCGUCGUAGUCCGGAUUGGAGUCUGCAACUCGACUCCAUGAAGUCGGAAUCGCUAGUAAUCGUGGAUCAGAAUGCCACGGUGAAUACGUUCCCGGGCCUU